UUCCACGUUACCGUGGGAGAUGUCUGUGUGUGACACACUCCCUUCCUAGGCGUGGGAGAGUAUUUCUUGCUUUUGGCAAAACUGCUUCUUGUGAUUUGUGGAAACAGUGUUGUUUGAGCAAGAGACAAGG
Small nucleolar RNA from Protopterus annectens (West African lungfish), 130 nucleotides. RefSeq annotates it as small nucleolar RNA SNORA24. NCBI's taxonomy places the organism in Eukaryota, Metazoa, Chordata, Ceratodontiformes, Protopteridae. The record is from RefSeq and is a predicted model, not a curated record. The transcript has a single exon.